ACUACGGGGGGCUGCAGUCGAGAAUCAUUCACAAUGGGGGAAACCCUGAUGGUGCGACGCCGCGUGGGGGAAUGAAGGUCUUCGGAUGUUAAACCCCUGUCAUGUGGGAGCAAAUUAAAAAGAUAGUACCACAAGAGGAAGAGACAGCUAACUCUGUGCCAGCAGCCGCGGUAAUACAGAGGUCUCAUGCGUUGUUCGGAAUCACGGGGCGGAAGGCGUGCGUAGGCUGUUUCGUAAGUCGUGUGUGAACGGCGCGGGCUCAACCCGCGGACGGCACAUGAUACUGCGAGACUAGAGUAAUGGAGGGGGAAGCGGAAUUCUCGGUGUAGCAGUGAAAUGCGUAGAUA
RNAcentral lists this ribosomal RNA (347 nucleotides) under uncultured bacterium. RNAcentral describes it as "partial 16S ribosomal RNA". It matches the Rfam family "Bacterial small subunit ribosomal RNA", at positions 338 to 696 of the family's 1533-position model. The record is from RNAcentral.